UAGUUAUUUUCUUUAAACCUAAAGAAUUUGGCGGUAUUUUAGUCUAUUUAGAGGAAUUUGCCCUGUAAUCGAUAAUCCUCGUUUUAUCUUGCUUAAUUUAUUUAGUAUGUAUAUCGCUGUUAUAAGUUUAUUUUAUUAGAAUAAAAAUUUACUUUAUUUAUUAUUUUAAUAUAUUUCAAGUCAAGGUGCAGCUUAUAAUUAAGGAUUUAGGUGAAUUACAAUAUUAUUUUAAUAAACGAAUUUAAAUUUUAAAAUUUUAAUGAAGGUGGAUUUAAUGGUAAUUUUAAUUAUAAUGUUAUUUUGAUUUUAGCUCUAGAAUAAGUACACAUCGCCCGGUCGCUCUA
This 344-nucleotide ribosomal RNA is filed under the name Asceles margaritatus. RNAcentral's name for it is "partial small subunit ribosomal RNA". The record is from RNAcentral. Lineage: Eukaryota; Metazoa; Arthropoda; Insecta; Phasmatodea; Lonchodidae.